Molecule: long non-coding RNA, 2292 nt
Organism: Leptonychotes weddellii (Weddell seal)
Lineage: Eukaryota; Metazoa; Chordata; Mammalia; Carnivora; Phocidae
Source: RefSeq, a predicted model, not a curated record
GAUGUGUUGAAGACAAGAGAUAAAGAGAGUACUAGUGAGCAAGGCUGUAGUCAUCCUGAUAGAUACAGCAGCAAGAAUGAUUUAGGCUGCUGGGAAGGAUCCAAUGAGAAUUCAAGAGGGCACUGCUUCGGAAAUCCUGAUCUGAUCUUCCCACUCUCAGUUCUUUAAGAGUUACCUGCGUUGGGAACAUUAUUAUUAGGAUUAAUAGUAUUCCAUCAGUGUAUUUCACUAGGAUUUCCCUUGAACUCUCUCACUCGCAGCAACUGAGGGAGGCGUAAUAAGGAAGCCCAACACAACCAACCCUCCCAAAUAAACCACUGUGGUCACUUUAGGAUGACCAAAUCAUCAGCGAUUUGCAUUGGCGGGGGGGAAUCUAAGGGCUGAAGAUGCGGAUGAGGCCGAGUCGCCGGGCGCUUUCGGGGGCGCUGUGCCGGAGGCUUAGGCAAGGGGGCCCGGAACCGUGGUUACAAGCUGCAGCGGUGGCAGGAGGAGCCCUCCCAGAUCCUGUUUUCUCGGAGAAUUCUGCAGCCCGCGACUCAAGGCAAUUCACUUCCAUCCGCAACCUCAGCUCCGAAUGCCUUGUUUUAGAAGCUAGAGCUUUGGAGGUUCUGAGGACCGUUCCUGGGGGAGCGGGUGACAGGCUGUGAGGCUUUCGCGUCCCCUCUGAUUCCUGCACAGUUACCGAGGGAGGUAUGCUAGAAAUGGCUUUGCUGCCGAAUGCAUGCUCUUGCCAUUUUCGUAUCCCGAUACGGCACACACGAUCGCCUGAUCGAUCGGAAAUAGGAGGGAAAGGUAGAGUGGAAAUUGAUUUCUUGCAGAGACUGAGGCGCCGAAUGAUAGAAGGAAUAAACAUUUGCCCUGGAUAAAAAUGUUCUUGGAGAACAGCAGCAUGUAAGGGUGAAUUUGAACUAGGGGGCUUUUAAGAAGGCAAUAUGAAGGCUUUAAGGCUCUUCAUUUCUUACAUUCAAACCUACACACAGGUUGUGUUCCAGCCCUAAUAGGGACCUAGAGCAGAAGUUUUUCUUCAGUCAUCUAAUUUUACCCAAAAGAUUACUUCUAUGAUAUGUCUAUGUUUUACACAGGCUGACAAAUGUUGGUAGGGGUAUCUGAGGUCCACACAAGGAGGAUGAAUGUCGUGAAUUUCAUUUGUUACAAAUUCAACCUUAACAAUGGUGGUAUAUAGAGAGCAUACUUUUCAUAUAUGAUCUUCAUAUGCUGCCUAAACCUACUUACUUAAUUGCUAUUCAAAGAAAUCCAGUUAUUUGUUGGGGACCCAACCUGACUUAAGUUAGAAAAUGUAACAUUAAAAUUUUUAUUUUAUAUGUGAAAUAAAUGUAGGUUGCUGUUCUUUUAAAUAUUUGGAGAAUAAUAAGUACAGGAUAAAAACAUUAAUUUUGUGACCCAUGGUUCCUUAACUGUAACAUUUUAUAGCACUUAAAGUUUAUUAAACUAAGUAUUUGAGCAUUAUAUUAAAUCAUAUGACAAAGUUUGAUGAACCUCAAAAUAGAGUCAUAGGGUUUUACAUCUCUUAGCUAGCUCUGACCUGGUUUGUACUUAGACCUCUCUCAAAAGUUAUACAUUCUAAUUUUAUACUGAAAAUGUCCUUUCUUGGAUAAUCUCAAGACAUAUCUACAGUUGGUAUCUUAACACAUUUUAUAUUACUGGUAUUGUUUUUGUUUGCUCUCCUGGCUUCUUCUUUUAAGUGUAUAGGUACCACCUAAUAUAUUUCUUACCUAUUAAUCCACUAAAAUGUCUAAUCUAAAAGCAAUGUUCAAGGUAUACUGUAUUAGAGAAAUUGUGAACCAAUUUGCUUGUGAAUAAAAAUGUCAAUAUGCUUUAGGUCAUUUUAACCUUAAAUCAAAUUUAUAACAAAAAUGUAAUAUAAGUAAACUCAAACUGUUUCUUGCAUACAAAAGAGAGCCAGUCAUACACACACAUACAUAUACAAUUUUCCUCAUUAGAAUAUUUAAAUUCAUUCAUUAUAUUCUCUGCUAUAUGUUUAUUUUGGUUUUAGAUCUUUCUCUUUGAAAGUGUCUAAAGUUUCUUAAAUACCUUAAUGUGAAAGCAUUUUCAUGUCUUACUCCAUAAGAUGAAUAUGAUGCUAAAUAAACUGAGCCAAUAUAUUUGAAUCUCAAAAUAAUUACAAUAGUCCCCUGCCUUAUCCACAGAGGAUACGUUCCAAGACCUCCAGUAGACACCUGAAACCAUGAAUAGUACAGAACCUUAAAUAUACCAUGUUUUUUCCUACACAUACAUAUCUAUGAUAAAGUUUAAUUUAUAUAUUAGGUACAG